GACGAACGCUGGCGGCGUGCUUAACACAUGCAAGUCGAACGGAAAGGCCCUGCUUUUGUGGGGUGCUCGAGUGGCGAACGGGUGAGUAACACGUGAGUAACCUGCCCUUGACUUUGGGAUAACUUCAGGAAACUGGGGCUAAUACCGGAUAGGAGCUCCUGCUGCAUGGUGGGGGUUGGAAAGUUUCGGCGGUUGGGGAUGGACUCGCGGCUUAUCAGCUUGUUGGUGGGGUAGUGGCUUACCAAGGCUUUGACGGGUAGCCGGCCUGAGAGGGUGACCGGCCACAUUGGGACUGAUAUACGGCGCAGACUCCUACGGGAGGCAGCAGUGGGGAAUAUUGCACAAUGGGCGGAAGCCUGAUGCAGCAACGCCGCGUGCGGGAUGACGGCCUUCGGGUUGUAAACCGCUUUCGCCUGUGACGAAGCGUGAGUGACGGUAAUGGGUAAAGAAGCACCGGCUAACUACGUG
RNAcentral lists this ribosomal RNA (468 nucleotides) under uncultured bacterium. RNAcentral's name for it is "partial 16S ribosomal RNA". It matches the Rfam family "Bacterial small subunit ribosomal RNA", at positions 28 to 507 of the family's 1533-position model. The record is from RNAcentral.